This 324-nucleotide ribosomal RNA is filed under the name uncultured eukaryote. Its description in RNAcentral is "partial 18S ribosomal RNA". It matches the Rfam family "Eukaryotic small subunit ribosomal RNA", at positions 1470 to 1796 of the family's 1831-position model. The record is from RNAcentral.
CCCUUAGAUGUUCUGGGCCGCACGCGCGCUACACUGAUGCAUUCAACGAGUUUCUUCCUGGUCCGAGAGGAAUGGGUAACCUUUUGAAAGUGCAUCGUGAUAGGGAUAGACUAUUGCAAUUAUUGGUCUUCAACGAGGAAUUCCUAGUAGACGUAGUUCAUCAGACUGCAUCGAUUACGUCCCUGCCCUUUGUACACACCGCCCGUCGCUCCUACCGAUUGAAUGCUCAGGUGAGCCAUUCGGACUUUCAUCAUGCUGGUUUCCAGUUUUGAUGAAGGAAAGUCUUGCGAACCUUAUCAUUUAGAGGAAGGAGAAGCCGUAACA